CUGCUGCCUUCCGUAGGAGUUUGGUCCGUGUCUCAGUACCAAUGUGGGGGGUUAACCUCUCAGUCCCCCUAUGUAUCGUUGUCUUGGUGAGCCGUUACCCCACCAACUAACUAAUACAACGCAUGCCCAUCCAUUACCACCGGAGUUUUCAACCCAAGAAGAUGCCUCCCUGGAUGUUAUGGGGUAUUAGUACCGAUUUCUCAGUGUUAUCCCCCUGUAAUGGGUAGGUUGCAUACGCGUUACGCACCCGUGCGCCGGUCGCCGACAUAGA
Molecule: ribosomal RNA, 271 nt
Filed under: uncultured bacterium
Lineage: Bacteria
Description: partial 16S ribosomal RNA
Source: RNAcentral